GACGAACGCUGGCGGCGUGCUUAACACAUGCAAGUCGAGCGGAAAGGCCCUUCGGGGUACGUCGAGCGGCGAACGGGUGAGUAACACGUGAGUAACCUGCCCUUGGCUCUGGGAUAAGCCCGGGAAACUGGGUCUAAUACCGGAUAUGACCACUGACUGCAUGGUUGGUGGUGGAAAGUUUUUUCGGACUGGGGAUGGACUCGCGGUCUAUCAGCUUGUUGGUGGGUGAUGGCCUACCAAGGCGACGACGAUAGCCGCCUGAGAGGUGACCGGCCACACUGGGACUGAGACACGGCCCAGACUCCUACGGGAGGCAGCAGUGGGGAAUAUUG
This 332-nucleotide ribosomal RNA is filed under the name uncultured bacterium. RNAcentral's name for it is "bacterial SSU rRNA". It matches the Rfam family "Bacterial small subunit ribosomal RNA", at positions 28 to 366 of the family's 1533-position model. The record is from RNAcentral.